GUCAAGUUUUAGCUGAAAGCCAUUUUCAUGUAAUUGACACAUGUUUGCAAAAUUUAUAAAAAAAAAUGUUUAAAAAAAAAUAGUGGUUCAAUCCUCAUGAUAGUGCUCUGUUUGUGUUUAAGAUUGGUUGUGUUUAAAAUCACGAAAAGCAAUUGUUUAAGGUCUUGUUUAGCCCUUAUAUUGAAUUGUAAGGUUUUAUAGAAAGAAGUUUUGUAUAAGUACGAUAAAAAUGACAUUUAAAUAAUCUGUGCAACGUUGAACACCGCCCAAGCUGUUCUAUAUACAUAAACUGACAAGAACAGCAAUUUGAAGACUGCUCUUAAGUGGCAAUAAACGUUCACCUGGUUGUUUACGAAGGAGCUCAUUCAAUCGAUCAUGCGGCUGCGGUGUCGGCGGCGGCGGUGGUGGCGGCGGCUGCAGCUUGAUGCGAAGGCGGGCGGCCUCCUCGAUGCCGGUGUCUGUCUUCUUGGAGAUGAUCACGUGACCGAACGCCUCCUCUGGGUCGUAGAUGCCUUCGUGGAGGAGCACCCGGUACGCCUGGAAGCUCGGGCGGCACUGAAGGAACUGCAACUUUCGCUCGGUCGCUUCCGAUGCAUCUUCAAGUGCAGAGUUCCCCUGAGCAGAUUCAAAGAUUCUGAGACUCGUGUAUGCUGACAUUUCUAACGAAAAGUUACUAGCAUACAUAUUAUUUUUGCGCGAAAUGUAAAAUUAACUUCAGUGCUAAGGUCUUUUAAUAUCGAUGCAUAAUUUUAGUAUAGUAUGCGCGAAAUCUGGUCAAGAACUAACAUGUUCGCAUUAAAAACAAAAGGAG
Molecule: long non-coding RNA, 811 nt
Organism: Dreissena polymorpha
Lineage: Eukaryota; Metazoa; Mollusca; Bivalvia; Myida; Dreissenidae
Exons: 2
Source: RefSeq, a predicted model, not a curated record